Cavia porcellus (domestic guinea pig) is the source of this 133-nucleotide small nucleolar RNA. Ensembl annotates it as small nucleolar RNA SNORA61. The record is from Ensembl. NCBI's taxonomy places the organism in Eukaryota, Metazoa, Chordata, Mammalia, Rodentia, Caviidae.
AUCUUUUAGUUCCUGUUUCCAUUGGAUCUGAACACUGAUCCUGAUGGUCAUAAAAGGAGGAAAAAUAAUGCUGAAGUUAGCCUCACAGUCUUGUAACAUGGCAAUAUAUUGUGUGGGCUACUUGCAAACAGGG